AAACUUGCCCCGAGAUGAGUUCUCCCUGAGACUUUAAGUAACUUGCCCCGAGAUGAGUUCUCCCUGAGACUUUAAGUCUCCUGAAGGAACGUUGAAGACUACGACGUUGAUAGGUCGGGUGUGUAAGCGCAGCGAUGCGUUGAGCUAACCGAUACUAAUGAACCGUGAGGCUUAACCUU
This 179-nucleotide ribosomal RNA is filed under the name Enterobacter ludwigii. Its description in RNAcentral is "partial 23S ribosomal RNA". It matches the Rfam family "Bacterial large subunit ribosomal RNA", at positions 2747 to 2925 of the family's 2925-position model. The record is from RNAcentral. Lineage: Bacteria; Pseudomonadati; Pseudomonadota; Gammaproteobacteria; Enterobacterales; Enterobacteriaceae.